CCCAAGUGAAAAAAUGUUAAUAAACAAUUACCAAGUUCACAAAAAAACUAUUUUCAGUGGAAACCAAAAUCUCCAUCCUCUAGUAAUAUUUCUCGGUAGAGAACAUGAAUUUAGAAUUGACUUCAAGAUUUCAUCCUAAUAUGCAACACCACCAAUCAAACACAUUUGAUGCUACAAAGGUCUCUACAACCACAUCAAGCAUAAUGUUGUGAGUCUUGUGACCAUCUCCUGCAAAGACACAGAAGUUCUAUUCUCCUCGCUACAUUUACUGAAACUUGGUACUUAUAUACACAAUUUCCAUAUAGGAAGAUCAGUUUACAUGAGAAAAUCAAUAUCAUCUGGAAAGAGUAUUAAGAAAAUGGCUACAAAGGUAUUAGGAGAAUCAAAGGAAAACUUGAUGGUGGAGUGAGAGUUCAGUUAGUGAUUAGGAUAAAAGAGGAUAACAUAAAAGACUACUUAAAUAUAGAAAUUGAGAAACGUAUGAAAGUUAUAAGACAGCUUAAACGAAGUUAAGAAAACAGUGUGAGAGGCUAGAAUUAAAGCAUAUGAAGAGUCAUAUCGCAAGCUAUAAAUUAAGGAUGGAAAAAAUUAUAUAUCUAUAAGAUUGAAAGACUAAGAGAAAGGAAAAUUAGAGACUUGACUCGCACUAAAUACAUCGAAGAUGAAAAUCAAAAAAUUUUGAUUAAGGAGGACGAGAUCAGAAAGAGAUGGAGGAGUUAUUUUGAUAAGCUAUUAAAUAAAGAUCUUGUGAAGGACUAGUUCAAUUGAUGAUAUAAAUGUUAAGUAUACAUGUAAACUUAAGAGUAUCAAUGAUAAACA
RNAcentral lists this long non-coding RNA (819 nucleotides) under Phoenix dactylifera (date palm). RNAcentral's name for it is "long non-coding RNA (PDAC_LNC017901)". The record is from RNAcentral. Lineage: Eukaryota; Viridiplantae; Streptophyta; Magnoliopsida; Arecales; Arecaceae.